RNAcentral lists this ribosomal RNA (635 nucleotides) under uncultured fungus. RNAcentral's name for it is "eukaryotic LSU rRNA". It matches the Rfam family "Eukaryotic large subunit ribosomal RNA", at positions 23 to 673 of the family's 3401-position model. The record is from RNAcentral. RNAcentral also lists the same sequence under 1 other name. Lineage: Eukaryota; Fungi.
ACCCGCUGAACUUAAGCAUAUCAAUAAGCGGAGGAAAAGAAACCAACAGGGAUUGCCUUAGUAACGGCGAGUGAAGCGGCAAAAGCUCAAAUUUGAAAUCUGGCACCUUCGGUGUCCGAGUUGUAAUUUGAAGAAGGUAACUUUGGAGUUGGCUCUUGUCUAUGUUCCUUGGAACAGGACGUCACAGAGGGUGAGAAUCCCGUGCGAUGAGAUGCCCAAUUCUAUGUAAAGUGCUUUCGAAGAGUCGAGUUGUUUGGGAAUGCAGCUCUAAGUGGGUGGUAAAUUCCAUCUAAAGCUAAAUAUUGGCGAGAGACCGAUAGCGAACAAGUACAGUGAUGGAAAGAUGAAAAGAACUUUGAAAAGAGAGUGAAAAAGUACGUGAAAUUGUUGAAAGGGAAGGGCUUGAGAUCAGACUUGGUAUUUUGCGAUCCUUUCCUUCUUGGUUGGGUUCCUCGCAGCUUACUGGGCCAGCAUCGGUUUGGAUGGUAGGAUAAUGACUAAGGAAUGUGGCUCUACUUCGGUGGAGUGUUAUAGCCUUGGUUGAUACUGCCUGUCUAGACCGAGGACUGCGUCUUUUGACUAGGAUGUUGGCAUAAUGAUCUUAAGCCACCCGUCUUGAAACACGGACCAAGGAG